RNAcentral lists this ribosomal RNA (478 nucleotides) under Funneliformis mosseae. RNAcentral's name for it is "SSU rRNA". It matches the Rfam family "Eukaryotic small subunit ribosomal RNA", at positions 583 to 1064 of the family's 1831-position model. The record is from RNAcentral. Lineage: Eukaryota; Fungi; Glomeromycota; Glomeromycetes; Glomerales; Glomeraceae.
AUCCAGCUCCAAUAGCGUAUAUUAAAGUUGUUGCAGUUAAAAAGCUCGUAGUUGAAUUUCGGGAUCAAUAUUUCGGUCAUGCCGUUGGUAUGCACUGUUAUCAUUGAUUUCUCACCUUCUAAAGAACCGUAAUGCCAUUAAUUUGGUGUUACGGGGAAUUAGGACUGUUACCUUGAAAAAAUUAGAGUGUUUAAAGCAGGCUCACGCUUGAAUACAUUAGCAUGGAAUAAUGAAAUAGGACAUCCGAUUCUAUUUUGUUGGUUUCUAGGAUCGAUGUAAUGAUUAAUAGGGAUAGUUGGGGGCAUUAGUAUUCAAUUGUCAGAGGUGAAAUUCUUGGAUUUAUUGAAGACUAACUACUGCGAAAGCAUUUGCCAAGGAUGUUUUCAUUAAUCAAGAACGAAAGUUAGGGGAUCGAAGACGAUCAGAUACCGUCGUAGUCUUAACCAUAAACUAUGCCGACUAGGGAUCGGAUGAUGUU